UUUUUUUUUCUUUUGCUUUUUAGAGCCACACCUGCAGCAUACGAAAGUUCCCAGGCUAGGGUUCAAAUCAGAGCUGCAGCUGCCAGCCUACAGCACACCCAGAACUACACAGGAUCUGAGCUGUGUCUGUGACCUACACUGCAGCUCAGGACAAUGCCAGAGCCUUAACCCACGGAGCGAGGCCAGAGAUUAAACCUGCAUCUUCAUGGUUACUAGCCGGGUUCAUUUCCACUGAGCCACACGGGAACUCCUGCAUUUACUCUUAAAGACUGAUGGUAGGCUCAUGAGACGGAAAAACUACGCAGGGUGUAAGAAGAGCCAUCCAUCACAGCUGGGGAAACCCAAGUUCCUUGAUGUCCUGCAAGGCCUUCCCUUUCUGGAAACUGUGCCCUGACUCCCUCAGGCGCCUCAGUUCAUGCACCAUUUGCUUCUCCCUUCCUGUACCAUCUCCUACCCUCCACCACCCCCGCAUCUCUUUCUUCUCUGCCUCUGUUCACUUGGGCUCCAUUACUUGAAGGCAGAGACUCUGACUAGGUCCCAAAGCAAUACCUCUGCCAAGUCAGGCCUGACACUAAGUAGUGGAGAUGCAGGGACAGACCCCGCACAGUUCUGCCUUUAGCAGGUGGGCAGCGUGUUCUGGAACUCUAAGUGUCAAAACCACACCGGACUUCAAUGAUCUAGUACGAAAAAAAAAGAAGCUAAAGGAGUAAGCAAUAAUUUUUGAUUUUUCUUUUUAAAUCCCAUAAUAUUGGGCAGGCCUGCAAGCCCCAUAAUUGCCCAGUGUCAAGACCAAGGAGAAGCCCAGAGUCAGCGACAGAGACAUCAGUGGUUUAAUAGAGGGGGAUCUUAUACAUCCAAAGCAAAAGGGUCCUAGAGCGACACCCUACCAUGGAUGGCAGGUGGGACAGGGCAGCAGCCUUUGCUACUGAGAAGAGGUCACCAGUUACAGGGGAAUUGACGUCAGGUUGGCUCAUCGGUUACCAGGGAAACUCCUCACAGCCCUUUUGAUAAGCUAUCAUAGCAGAGAUGUUCUGAUUUAAAGAUUAGAACACUCACUAGCUGGGGCCAGGGGCAAGUACGUAGGCAUUUACUGAUCAGGCUCCAUGAUUAAGAGGGAAGGUCAGUCAGGUGAGUAGGAUGUAGGUGAGGCAGGCACUAGUCUAGCAGGAGAUGGCCAGAGAGCAGGCCAACAGUCAUCCUGGCCUGACCAUACAUAUACAGUUUGAAUAUAUUGUGUUAAAUAAAAUAUAUUAUUAAAAUUAAUUUUAGGGAGUUCCUGCUGCGGUGCAGCAGAAACGAACCCGACUAGUAGCCAUGAGGAUGCAAGUUUGAUCCCUGGCCUUGCUCAGUGGGUUAAGGAUCCAGUGUUGCUGUGAGCUGUGGUGGAGGUUGCAGACAUGGCUGGAUCUGGAGUUGCUGUGGCUGUGGUGUAGGCCAGCGGCUGUAGCUCCGAUUGGACCCCUAGCCUGGGAACCUCCAUAUGCUGCAGGUGUGCCCCCCCCCAAAAAAGCAAAAAAAUAAAAUUAAUUUCACUUGUUCCUUUUUACCUUUUUAAAUAUGGCUACUAGAAAAUGUACAAUUACACACAGGGCUCACAUUCUAUUUCUAUUGGACAGGGCUAAUUUAACGGAGAGAUUCCUAGACCUGCUGGUCAUCUGAACCAUCCUAGAAGCUUUUCCUAAAGAGAGAUCCCAGGUCUCCCUUCUCUGCUAAUCCUGAUUGAGUAGGUCCUUAUGGGGGUGUCCUGUACUUUUAUAAUGCCUUCCAGGUUAUUCAAUGGCUAUGAUCAUCCCAGUUUGAAACAACAAUGGGAUGUCUCAAAUCCCAUUGUCUCUCAUGAAAUCCCCUGGCCCAAAAUUAUCCUAGGCUCCCUUCUAUUGCAGGGAUGGCCAAUACUCAAUAUGUAUCAGAAUCACAUGGACAGAUUUAAAAAAUAAAAAUUAACUUUCCAUCUUCAUGAUUUAGAUUCAAUUGAUCUGGGCAUUUUUUUUUUAAGCUCCCAGAUGGGUCCUCAAAUGCAGCAAAUAAUGGAAACCAUUGGUCUACCCAGCACUUACCACAUACAGUGCAGUUUUCCAUGCACUUCUCUGUCUCCUGCCAUAGACUGUGAGCUCCCUGAAGGCAUCGUCUUUGUCACCAUAUCUCUUAGGCCUACAGUAGUGACCUCAGGAGUGGCUGAAUGAACCCUUUAUGCUUUGACACUUUGGCCAUGGCUUCUCUGUCCUGGCUGGGCUCCAGUUUCUACUCUGGCUUUGAUGCUGCCUAUUCUUUGGCUCCACGUCCUUUUUCUGAGCAGCUGGCAUUCCCAGCUUCCUGCCUCCCUCCAGCAGUAAGGAGUGGGCCACGCUGACUCCACUCCCCGAUGCCUCCACUAUCCUCACUACCACCUUUUAUACUAAAGGUGGAAGAAGAAGAAAGAGUGGAUGAAUAAGUUACCCUCUGUCACCUCCUCUGGCUUGAGCCCAAGUCCCAUUACUCAGCACACUAGGACAGAGAGCAGCCUGUCCAGUGCCCAGAGCACUGGGCCAGGGGGCAGAAGAUCUGUGUGGUCAGCCUAGUGCUACCACUAACUGCCUUAGGAGUGUAACACUUCCUUUCUUUUUUUUUUUUUUUUUAAUAUAUUUUUUUAUUUUCCCACUGUACAGCAAGUGGACAAAAAGCUCCAAAGAACACCAAGGAAUGGGGAUAGUGGUUUUAGCGAUUAUUCAGACUUGGGUCCCUGGGCCGAUGCCUUCAGAGCCUUCUCAGGACAGGUCAGAUCCUAGGUCACUACAUGUCUGGCUAAUGAGGACAGGCCGGCAGUCUUUCAGGUCUACAUUCAAGAGACAACAACAGCGUGGAAGGCUUUGAACAUCAUGAGUGUGUGCUAAUAUACAAAACUCUGGUUACUGAAGACGUGUAAACGAUCAAGCACACGGCUCUCAAAUCAGCAUCUUCUUUGUGCAGCUGCACAGCUGCGGUUCAGCGCCACUGCGCAGCUGGUGUGCAGAGUGUGUUUCCUCGAAGCCCUUCUCACCUGGCUCAGAGCUGCUCACCCUUUGAGGUCCAGCUCAAGAGCAUCCUCUGUCUCAACACAGUUCCCACCAUUGUGCUUCUGGGCUUAUUUCUGUCUGUUCUGUAUGAUAAUUGUUUAUCUCUCCGGGCUCUUUGUGAGCAUGGACUAUAUCCUGCAUGUUCCCACAGUUCCUUUAAUGACAUCACAAAUGCCUUGGGAACCCUUGAAAGCUUAGAGUCACCACACUGCUGCCUCUUCUACGUGCAUGCCACCCUGACUACGUAAAAGCCUGGAAUUCCUUCCUCUCCCAGGCUUCUCAGAAAACUCUCUUCUUCCCCAUCUCCACUGACCCUAUCCUUAUUUAUUUCAUCAUUAUCUCUUUCUAGGAACGAAUGAAUAAUCUUCAAACAUCUCCUGCACCAAUGCAUGAUUUUUCUCCACUUCAAAAGUCUAGGAUUUUUACAAAGUGGAGAAGUGGUACCUAGGAUUGAUCCCCAAGGUAAACACCCAGGGCUCCACCUCCCUCCAAAGUUAUGCUUCAUAUCCUUUUUUCUCAAACCAGGAGAACAGCUCUCCCCAAAUCAGUCAUGAUGGAAACAGUGUUCUUCCUUUUUUGGCUUGUUAAUUUAUCCUUCCUAAUUGAACAAGACUGGAGAAUACCUCGGAACCCCUUGACUUUGACCCCGAGUAGGAACACAGACAACUGAGCUGCCUCAAGACUUCUAAAACAGAAUACAUCCAUAGUUGAAAAGACUCCCACAUACCUGAUAUUUCCACACCCCGAAGCCCUUUUGGGCACAUUGACCUCCAUCACAAACGAUAGAUAUUAUGGUUCUCAUUUUACAAACACCACCACAGAGGCCAGAGCACUAGGGUGGCUUGUGUAGGAUCUUACAGAUGGUUAAUGGCAGAGAUCAGGAAAAAAAAAAAAAUCAUGAAUUCCUGAGUUUAGGUAAGGCACACAUCUGAGAAAGCCUUUACUCCAUUACUCUGGAUGCGUGCCGAUUUUAAACUUUUAAGUCAUCACAUAUCUAUAUAUUUUCAACCUCUGUCUAUAGGCAGAAUGUGUUCGAGAGAUUUAUCGGACAGGCAAUCUAGAAAAGAUGACUGUUUUCAGAAGCUACUGCUCCCCAGUCCUCCGCAGGCAGAAAACCUUAAUUUGUCUUCCCAAAUUCACUCCACCUUCGAGAAUAGCUUUGUGGAUGGAAAAGCAAUAAAGACCAGACUCAGUCCAGCUGCAAAUGAUCAGCCUCUUCUCCCCAUCCUGGUAAUUUACAAGCGUCCCCCUAGGUCGGGCAGUUACUGACAGUGCCUAGUGAGCUUGGCUGAAUAACCUGGCCAGCUGGGGUGGGGGUGGGGGUGAAUGCUCUCCUACCCCAAUCCCCAUUUCUCAUUUAACUCUACUCAUUAGAGGAGGCUGUGGCACAAGCCAGGUUGACAUGUCAAUGAGUCACCAAGGAAAUGCAGAAAUUGACAGCUGAGGAAUCCCAGCCCCCAGCCUUCUCCACGACAGCAACCCUCAGAAAACAGGUUUCUCAACCUCCUCGCCAGGUCACUUAAAUGAGUAGUGACAUUUGAGUCCCUCAGAGUAAUUAAUUUCCUCUGUCUCCAAUAGCUCUUCAUACUUUUAAUGAAUUUUUACAAGUCUCAGAUCCUCCAGCCUUCCAGCUCCCUCUCCGGUCCCGUUGCUCCCCAAGGUCCUGUAACGAAUAGCUCCCACUCAUAUUUGCCUUGCAAACUCACAUAAACUGGAAAUGAUAAAUAUAUUAUCUAGGCUUUUUAACGGACCAUUGUUUAAUUUUCUAUGCUUGUCUGGCUGGGGAAGAGAUGAAUAUUACCUUGUGGAGAAUAAGAUUUCUAUUCCAUUUAAGGGGGGUUGGGGGUAAUCUAUGGCAGGAACACAGCACUCUGUUCAUCCUAAUAGGCAGCGCUGCUAAUUAAAAGUGUUAGGAAGGGACAUCCAUCCACCAGUCUGUGAUUCAUUCAACAUUAUCCCUGGUAAACAAGAAAUAGAUAUUGGAAUGAAUGCUUCUAAUUUGUCAAAAGAAUAGGCAUUUUCAAUUGCGCCUUCCCGGCUCCCCGCAUGAAGUACAUAAUUCAGUGUUGCCAUCAUUUAAAAGUUUAGGACCUCAAAAUAAUACCACCUGUCCCAUAAGCUCAUAAAUCUCCAAGCCUGUUUCCUAGGUAGAAACAUUUAUCUUACGUAUGCUUUGACUUUAGUUUCCACCAUCGGGAACGGUGCCGUCUGUUGGUAAAUAUAUUGAAAUGGGACAUUUGAGAAGACAGCGACAGAGCGGUAUUUAAAGUCGAACCCGUCUGAGACAACUUAUUAGGAGAGGCUAAAAUCUGGACAGGAAAACUUAAGGCUCUUCAUAACAUUUGCUAGAUACUUAAAGAAAAGCAGAAAGAGAAAUAUUCUUUCUCUAACCACGAACACAAAGUAGACCAGAGAAAAAUCAUCCUGAGCAUCAAUUAAUUCCCUGAAGGCUCCAUAAACCCUCUAGCGAGUUUUCAGGAGGAACAUGAAAGCCAUUGUUUCGAGAGGACCCUGAGACAUUUGCAAGCAUUUUCCAGAAAGGAAGGUUUUCCUCACACCAGCAAGUCAACGGGCCUCAAAUAGUUACCUUUGUGUUGUGCAAGAGUUCCUCAGUCAUGAAGACAUGGAGUCAGGGCUCCCCACCAUGUCCUGCUGAAUG
This 5691-nucleotide long non-coding RNA is filed under the name Sus scrofa (pig). RNAcentral's name for it is "lncRNA (ENSSSCG00040060350.1)". Lineage: Eukaryota; Metazoa; Chordata; Mammalia; Artiodactyla; Suidae. The record is from RNAcentral.